Molecule: ribosomal RNA, 551 nt
Filed under: uncultured bacterium
Lineage: Bacteria
Description: bacterial SSU rRNA
Rfam family: Bacterial small subunit ribosomal RNA
Source: RNAcentral
CGGGAACGUGAGGAACCUGCCUCGGAGUCGGGGAAGUAACAGCCCGAAAACGGGUUGCUAAUACCGCAUAAUGCAGUUGGGUCGCAUGACCCUGACUGCCAAAGAUUUAUCGCUCUGAGAUGGCCUCGCGUCUGAUUAGCUAGUAGCGGGGUAACGGCCCACCUAGGCGACGAUCAGUAGCCGGACUGAGAGGUUGACCGGCCACAUUGGGACUGAGACACGGCCCAGACUCCUACGGGAGGCAGCAGUGGGGAAUAUUGGGCAAUGGGCGCAAGCCUGACCCAGCAACGCCGCGUGAAGGAUGAAGGCUUUCGGGUUGUAAACUUCUUUUAUUCGGGACGAAGCAAAUGACGGUACCGAAUGAAUAAGCCACGGCUAACUACGUGCCAGCAGCCGCGGUAAUACGUAGGUCCCGAGCGUUGUCCGGAUUUAUUGGGCGUAAAGCGAGCGCAGGCGGUUUGAUAAGUCUGAAGUUAAAGGCUGUGGCUCAACCAUAGUUCGCUUUGGAAACUGUCAAACUUGAGUGCAGAAGGGGAGAGUCGACGCGGCCG